CGAGACCUUCAAACUCAUUUAUGAGGUCAUGACCUCCUUCCAUUCUGGCCUCAGGCAGCAGCCAUGAAUCUACUUCUCUGGAUACAGAGACACCUUUUCCAAGUUAAAUCCAUGUGAAUUUCCUGCCAGCUAGGAUGUCUUCAAUUCGUAAUUCAUAUCCCCAUGAACUCUCAAAACAUCACAAGGUUUCUCAUCAUCACUGUAUGUCUUCAGAGGCGACUCUUGGCGUCAAAGGGUUGUAGGAGCUAAUGCAUGAUGGGAGAUUAAAAUGAAUCUAUCUCAGCAAACGAGAUAAAGCAAUGCGUCGAACAUUUCUGACUCUUUGAGACUCAGGGAAAGACUUAACUGUACUCUGAGCACUCUUGGCUGCUUCUUACUGGGCGACUCUCAUUGCACUGAGCUUGAAGAAAGAGUAAAACAGAGGUCAGAGUCCUUUUUGAAGUCGCUCCAUCUCAGCAUCGACGGGAGUUUCCAUGCCUGACGGGUGCGUGGCAGAGAGGAACUGGAUAAUUAAAAGAUGCAAAAAAAAAAAAAGCAUAAAACAUUUUUUUUCAGCCAGUGUUGCUGUUCUUCCUUGAAAUACUGCCUCUGAAGAUCAAAGAUAAACAAACAAGCUGGGGGAGGGGUCGGAAAGCGACUCCAACCGGACCAAGUAUCCUUUUUCCUCUACUGAAAGCCAGAGCCUUCCUUUCGGAAUGUAAAUGUUUUCCUUAAAACUUGCGACAAUCACGGAUGUAAAGGAGAGCUUUUGUCGCAGUGGGGUCUCUUAUCUGCACUGACCUGUCGCUCCUUCAGACGGAGAUGUGGGCCCCAGUUCUCAGGAUUUUAGAAAAGAAUGUGUUCAAGUGAGGGUGGGGGUGGGUGAGGAAGCUGAGCCGUGCAGACGGUUUAACAUGCAAAUGUCUUCAGUUUCUUUUAGGUGGAGGAUCAAGGUUUGGCUAUUUUCAACUUCUUUUCCACUCCCCCUCUCUUCCCAUCCCAGUUUAGUUUCUAGAGGACUGUGGAUGUGACAAGGGCUUUGUGUAGGGAAUUCAGGGGAAUGAAAGGGCCAAGGAGACCCAGUUGAGGGAACAAACUUUUGGGGGUCAGUGAGGUCAGUUUGGAAUAAAAGUGUGGCAUUGUUGGUAUUAAGGACAUGCUCUCAGCAGGGUGUCCUGAACUGGGCACACAACUCCAGGCCUGUUUAUUCAACACUGAAAUACCUAAGGAUGGGCCUUGGGGAGAAAAUGGAAAGCCAUGCCAGGGGCCUGCAACGGCACCUUCCAGCCCCAGAGUGCUCCCGGGACACACACAAAGCCUUGCUUUUUCCACAUUUCGGAGAAGAAAGUGCCUGUGCAUAACCCAAAAUUAAUUGAUUAAUUAACCAAUGCAUUAAACGAAGAGCUUCCGUGG
Mastomys coucha (southern multimammate mouse) is the source of this 1392-nucleotide long non-coding RNA. RefSeq lists it as uncharacterized. The transcript has 2 exons. The record is from RefSeq and is a predicted model, not a curated record. Lineage: Eukaryota; Metazoa; Chordata; Mammalia; Rodentia; Muridae.